CAGUCGCCGCGGUAAUACGUAGGUGGCAAGCGUUGUCCGGAAUUAUUGGGCGUAAAGCGCGCGCAGGCGGCCUAUCCAGUCUGUCUUAAAAGUUCGGGGCUCAACCCCGUGAUGGGAUGGAAACUAGUAGGCUAGAGUAUCGGAGAGGAAAGCGGAAUUCCUAGUGUAGCGGUGAAAUGCGUAGAUAUUGGGGGGAACACCAGUGGCGAAGGCGGCUUUCUGGACUGUAACUGACGCUGAGGCUCGAAAGCCAGGGGAGCGAACGGGAUUAGAUACCCGGGUAGUCCCUGUCUCUUAUACA
RNAcentral lists this ribosomal RNA (301 nucleotides) under uncultured bacterium. Its description in RNAcentral is "partial 16S ribosomal RNA". It matches the Rfam family "Bacterial small subunit ribosomal RNA", at positions 509 to 809 of the family's 1533-position model. The record is from RNAcentral.